CGAGUUUGAUCAUGGCUCAGAUUGAACGCUGGCGGCAGGCCUAACACAUGCAAGUCGAGCGAGAAAGGUCUUCGGACUGAGUACAGCGGCGGACGGGUGAGUAAAGCGUAGGAAUCUACCUGGUAGUGGGGGAUAACUUGGGGAAACUCAAACUAAUACCGCAUACGCCCUACGGGGAAAGCGGGGGACCUUCGGGCCUCGCGCUAUCAGAUGAGCCUGCGUAGGAUUAGCUAGUUGGUGAGGUAAAGGCUCACCAAGGCGACGAUCCUUAGCUGGUCUGAGAGGAUGAUCAGCCACACUGGGACUGAGACACGGCCCAGACUCCUACGGGAGGCAGCAGUGGGGAAUAUUGCGCAAUGGGCGAAAGCCUGACGCAGCCAUGCCGCGUGUGUGAAGAAGGCCUUAGGGUUGUAAAGCACUUUCAAUUGGGAAGAAAAGUUGGUCGUUAAUAGCGGCCAGCCCUGACAUUACCUUUAGAAGAAGGACCGGCUAACUCCGUG
RNAcentral lists this ribosomal RNA (500 nucleotides) under uncultured bacterium. RNAcentral describes it as "bacterial SSU rRNA". It matches the Rfam family "Bacterial small subunit ribosomal RNA", at positions 9 to 507 of the family's 1533-position model. The record is from RNAcentral.